This 300-nucleotide small RNA is filed under the name Jaculus jaculus (lesser Egyptian jerboa). RNAcentral's name for it is "Metazoan signal recognition particle RNA (ENSJJAG00000006742.1)". It matches the Rfam family "Metazoan signal recognition particle RNA", at positions 1 to 200 of the family's 299-position model. From Rfam's summary of the family: The signal recognition particle (SRP) is a universally conserved ribonucleoprotein. It is involved in the co-translational targeting of proteins to membranes. The eukaryotic SRP consists of a 300-nucleotide 7S RNA and six proteins: SRPs 72, 68, 54, 19, 14, and 9. Lineage: Eukaryota; Metazoa; Chordata; Mammalia; Rodentia; Dipodidae. The record is from RNAcentral.
GCCGGGCGCCGUGGCACAUGCCUGUAGUCCCAGCUACUCGGGAGGCUGAGGCGGGAGGAUCGCUUGAGUCCAGGAGUUCUAGGCUACAGUUAGCUAUGCCGAUUGGGUGUCUGCACUAAGUUUGGCAUCAAUAUGGUGACCUUCCAGAAGUGGGGGACCACCAGGUUGCCUAAAGAGGGGUGAACCGGUCCAGGUCAGAUAGCUAUAUAGGAAGUUCGUUGGCUGAAAUAACUCAUACUGUUGGAGGACUGAUCAUUGUCACUUUUUCAAGUUCUGAGUUAUAUUUCAAGAAGUGCUCCA